This is a long non-coding RNA of Mauremys mutica (yellowpond turtle), 522 nucleotides long. RefSeq lists it as uncharacterized. NCBI's taxonomy places the organism in Eukaryota, Metazoa, Chordata, Testudines, Geoemydidae. The record is from RefSeq and is a predicted model, not a curated record. The transcript has 3 exons.
UCAGCUCCAGCCAGCAAGUUGAAGCUCCGGCCUGCCGGGGCAGCCUGUGGCAACACUAGGUGACACCCUGGCAGCUCCGGUUAGCACUGCUGACUAGGCCAUUAAAAGUCCGGUUGGCACGGGGCUGGCAGGCUCCUUACCUGGUUCUGAGCUGGUCCCCAGAAGUGGCAACAUGUCCCUUGGCUCUUAGGUGGAGGAACGGCUACGGGGGCUCUGUGAGCUGCCCCUGCCCCGAGCGCCAGCUCUGAAGCUCCCAUUGGCCGGGAGCGGCAGCUACCUGACUGUGCCUCCACCUAGGAGCCGAGGGACAUGUCACUGCUUGCGGAGGGCCGCCCAAGUGUUUUUGAAAAACUUAACAGGAGGAGCUAACAAACAGGAGCGGCUAACAGGAGUUUUGUGAGGGACUUCUCCAGGUGAAGGAGGAGUGAUUGGCAUGACCCGUUGGGGUUAGACCACUAUCCUGUGCUCUACAUCCAGGGCUGGCUCCAGGCACCAGCGGAGGAAGCACGUGCCUGAGGCGGC